AACGCAGCGAAGGGCGAUAAGUAAUGUGAAUUGCAGAAUUCAGUGAAUCAUCGAAUCUUUGAACGCACAUUGCGCCCGCUGGUAUUCCGGCGGGCAUGCCUGUUCGAGCGUCAUUAUGACCAAUCAAGCUCUGCUUGGCCUUGGGGGCCCGCUGUACCGGCGGCCCUUAAAAUCAGUGGCGGUGCCGUCUGGCUCUAAGCGUAGUAAUACUUCUCGCUACAGGGUUCAGCCGUCCACCCGCCACGAACCCCCAACUUUCUUAGGUUGACCUCGGAUCAGGUAGGGAUACCCGCUGAACUUAA
This 302-nucleotide ribosomal RNA is filed under the name uncultured fungus. RNAcentral describes it as "eukaryotic LSU rRNA". The stretch from base 1 to 113 matches the Rfam family "5.8S ribosomal RNA", at positions 42 to 154 of the family's 154-position model. The record is from RNAcentral. Lineage: Eukaryota; Fungi.